CCUACGGGGGGCAGCAGUAGGGAAUAUUGGGCAAUGGACGCAAGUCUGACCCAGCCACGCCGCGUGAAGGAUGACUGCCCUAUGGGUUGUAAACUUCUUUUGUAUGGGAAGAAACCUCCGAACGUGUUCGGAGCUGACGGUACCAUAAGAAUAAGCAUCGGCUAACUCCGUGCCAGCAGCCGCGGUAAUACGGAGGAUGCAGGCGUUGUUCGGAUUCAUUGGGUUGAAGGCGUAGAUAUGCGGCAGAGGAGAAAGCUCGCAGCUUAACUGUGAAAAUGCCAUUGAAACUGAUUUUCUUGAGUUCGAUUGAGGUAGAUGGAAUGUAUCAUGUAGCGGUGAAAUGCCUAGAUAUGAUACAGAACACCAAUUGCGAAGGCAGUCUACUAAGUCGAUACUGACGCUGAGGCACGAAAGCAUGGGGAGCAAACAGGAUUAGAUACCCUAGUAGUC
This 450-nucleotide ribosomal RNA is filed under the name uncultured bacterium. Its description in RNAcentral is "partial 16S ribosomal RNA". It matches the Rfam family "Bacterial small subunit ribosomal RNA", at positions 338 to 795 of the family's 1533-position model. The record is from RNAcentral.